AUACGUAGGGGGCAAGCGUUAUCCGGAUUUACUGGGUGUAAAGGGAGCGUAGACGGCAGUGCAAGUCUGAAGUGAAAGCCCGGGGCUCAACCCCGGGACUGCUUUGGAAACUGCAUAGCUUGAGUACCGGAGGGGUAAGCGGAAUUCCUAGUGUAGCGGUGAAAUGCGUAGAUAUUAGGAGGAACACCAGUGGCGAAGGCGGCUUACUGGACGGUAACUGACGUUGAGGCUCGAAAGCGUGGGGAGC
This 247-nucleotide ribosomal RNA is filed under the name uncultured bacterium. RNAcentral describes it as "partial 16S ribosomal RNA". It matches the Rfam family "Bacterial small subunit ribosomal RNA", at positions 523 to 769 of the family's 1533-position model. The record is from RNAcentral.